Long non-coding RNA from Perca fluviatilis (European perch), 247 nucleotides. RefSeq lists it as uncharacterized. The transcript is spliced from 3 exons. The record is from RefSeq and is a predicted model, not a curated record. Lineage: Eukaryota; Metazoa; Chordata; Actinopteri; Perciformes; Percidae.
UCAGGAAGUAACUGCAUGCUAUAUAGGCAGGGGGUUUGACCUCUUCACUCUUUGUUGCUGGAAGCACACUUCCGCUCUGGGGCCUUUCGCGGUGCAGUCACGGUUGUGCAACAGUGUCUCCCUGUCACAAACCCGAUCUUUCCUGUAACGGAACCGGGUUGAGUGUUGCUGCUGGCUCUGUGUAGCUGUACUAUCGGCACUGUCGGUGUAUUGGUGCGAAGCUCCCUGACUGGUAUGUAUACCAGUG